GGUGAGGUGGCCGAGUGGUUUAAGGCGCACGCUUGGAAAGCGUGUGUGCGUUAAUAGCGUACCGUGGGUUCGAAUCCCAUCCUCACCUCCA
RNAcentral lists this transfer RNA (91 nucleotides) under Robiginitomaculum sp. Its description in RNAcentral is "tRNA-Ser". It matches the Rfam family "tRNA". Rfam says of the family: Transfer RNA (tRNA) molecules are approximately 80 nucleotides in length. Their secondary structure includes four short double-helical elements and three loops (D, anti-codon, and T loops). Further hydrogen bonds mediate the characteristic L-shaped molecular structure. tRNAs have two regions of fundamental functional importance: the anti-codon, which is responsible for specific mRNA codon recognition, and the 3' end, to which the tRNAs corresponding amino acid is attached (by aminoacyl-tRNA synthetases). tRNAs cope with the degeneracy of the genetic code in two manners: having more than one tRNA (with a specific anti-codon) for a particular amino acid; and 'wobble' base-pairing, i.e. permitting non-standard base-pairing at the 3rd anti-codon position. The record is from RNAcentral. Lineage: Bacteria; Pseudomonadati; Pseudomonadota; Alphaproteobacteria; Maricaulales; Robiginitomaculaceae.